CUAUUCUUUAUUAGCUAAUAUAGACAAAAUUUGCAACCUGAACUCCAAUGACAGAUAAAAUUGAAAUAUAAAUCAAUCUCAUGAUUAUAACAAACAAAAAAUAUUGAUGUGUUAAUUUCUAGUUCUACAACUGCUAUUAUAUUUGUCACUCUGUCUUCCUUUUUCGCCCUAAUUCUUCUCUGUAUGUAUAUAGUUUUAGGAAAUGUUCAUUUUGUGGUCAGUUCUUCUAAAAGGGCUUUAUUAAAUUUAUUACUUUUGAAAAAAUAUACCCAUUGUUUAAAUGGGCAUACAAAUGCUACCCUAUUUUAAAUGUAGGUGGCGUAUGUGUUCGUGUUUUAAUGUAUUCAGAGCCAUUGGGCAAUAAGCAGUCCAGAACAUUGAAAACUCAAGCAGCAGAGAAAUAAACUGGUAGGUGGCAGCAGAAGAAGGAGUCUUCAUAUUGAUGGCUGCUGACAAACCAUUGAAGAAAGAGAACAUUAUAGACCAAGCGAAGUGAAGGGGGCAAAAAAUGGAAAUAGGACAAAGAAACUUCUGGAUUUUCACAAUAAAUUGUUCUUUUGAAGUAACCAGUGAUCCUUUUGGAUUAUUACCUCAUCACAGAAUGGAUCCAGAUACAUUUGACUGUAUGCCGUUUUCAAAUGGAGGGUAGAAGUAUAAAGAACACAGAAACAAUUACUCCAAAUUGUUGUCAUUGGAUGUGUUUUUAAAAAUAAAACUGCUAGAAUCGAAAAUGAAGUAACAGGGAGUAUGAUUUUUUUUCUUUUUUUUUUUUUUGUCAACUGAUAACCCUCCCCUUCUCCUAAUCUUACUUCCUAGAGGGAGUCACUGUUAACUGUUUUUUUUAUUUUUUUGGCAUUUCUGUCCAUAUUUUCUAAAUUUCAUUUGUGAGCUCUCUGUUACUCCAGUGGAAUUGUAUUAUAAGCAAUUUCCAUAAUUUCAUGGUAUAUCAACUUUGUGCAUACUAGUAGCUAUAUUGCUGCUUCAAUUUCUUAGAACAGGCACAUAGAAUUGUUUUAUUGCUCCUACUGUAAUUUAAUUCAUUGGCUUAUUUACAUGAAUCAUCACAGUUUUCUUGCAAGGGUUUUCUGUCUUUGUUGAAACUUGUUUUUGCUACAUGCAAUCAAAGCAGUCUAAUACAAGGGAAAAGACUGAGCACAAAACAAACUUUGACAGGUUUUCUAAGAAAAAAAUAAUUGAAAAAAUUUUGAGCAUUGUAAAGGUUCAUACUUUUGGAGGAGAAAUCUAUAUACUAAUGGUAAAAAAAUAAAUAGAACCCUGCAAAAACUAUGGGGAAACUUUCCGUGUUAAUAUCCAAAGUUAAUUCUAAAAUUUGGCCUUGUGAAUUUGCAUGGUUUUUCUUUUUAAAGAUGUGGUUGAUAAAAAGAAAAAUAAUGGCUUGCUUCCACAAACCGGGAGAGGUCUUAAAUGGAGCUGAAUCACACUAGGUCUAAUGGAGGACAGCUAACCAUGAGAAUAGAUUUGAUAUGAUUAAUGAAUCACCAAGUGUAAUUGUGGCUAGGAGGAGGAAACUAAUUAGUGAGACUUAGGUCGGCCACUCCUAACACACAGAAAGAGUUUCUUGCAAGAAUAAAAGGGAGGAGGCAGUUUUCUCCCAUAAAAGAAUAUAGGGAGAGAUGAUGAGUGGACUAGACAUGAUUGGGAAAUACUAAGGUAGAGACAAUACUAUUUUGCUUUACUGGGACCUAAUAGUAUUAGAAGGAUUAAGACAUCAGUGAAGCAAAAUUAAAUGACCUUUUGAGGCAACCGGUUAAAGCACAGCACUGCAAA
This is a long non-coding RNA of Condylura cristata (star-nosed mole), 1788 nucleotides long. RefSeq lists it as uncharacterized. The record is from RefSeq and is a predicted model, not a curated record. NCBI's taxonomy places the organism in Eukaryota, Metazoa, Chordata, Mammalia, Eulipotyphla, Talpidae. The transcript is spliced from 3 exons.